GUGGGGAAUAUUGGGCAAUGGGGGCAACCCUGACCCAGCAACGCCGCGUGAGGGAAGAAGGUUUUCGGAUUGUAAACCUCUGUCCUAUGGGAAGAAGGAAGUGACGGUACCAUAGGAGGAAGCCCCGGCUAACUACGUGCCAGCAGCCGCGGUAAUACGUAGGGGGCGAGCGUUGUCCGGAAUUACUGGGCGUAAAGGGUGCGCAGGUGGCCUGACAAGUCAGAUGUGAAAUACCGAUGCUUAACGUCGGGGCUGCAUUUGAAACUAUGAGGCUGGAGUGCAGGAGAGGGAAGCGGAAUUCCUAGUGUAGCGGUGAAAUGCAUAGAUAUUAGGAGGAACACCAGUGGCGAAGGCGGCUUUCUGGACUGUAACUGACACUGAGGCACGAAAGCGUGGGGAGCAAACAGGAUUAGAUACCCCUGUAGUCC
Molecule: ribosomal RNA, 428 nt
Filed under: uncultured bacterium
Lineage: Bacteria
Description: partial 16S ribosomal RNA
Rfam family: Bacterial small subunit ribosomal RNA
Source: RNAcentral